This 2906-nucleotide ribosomal RNA is filed under the name Salmonella enterica subsp. enterica serovar Mbandaka. RNAcentral describes it as "23S ribosomal RNA". It matches the Rfam family "Bacterial large subunit ribosomal RNA". The record is from RNAcentral. Lineage: Bacteria; Pseudomonadati; Pseudomonadota; Gammaproteobacteria; Enterobacterales; Enterobacteriaceae.
GGUUAAGCGACUAAGCGUACACGGUGGAUGCCCUGGCAGUCAGAGGCGAUGAAGGGCGUGCUAAUCUGCGAUAAGCGCCGGUAAGGUGAUAUGAACCGUUAUAACCGGCGAUACCCGAAUGGGGAAACCCAGUGUGACUCGUCACACUAUCAUUAACUGAAUCCAUAGGUUAAUGAGGCGAACCGGGGGAACUGAAACAUCUAAGUACCCCGAGGAAAAGAAAUCAACCGAGAUUCCCCCAGUAGCGGCGAGCGAACGGGGAGGAGCCCAGAGCCUGAAUCAGCAUGUGUGUUAGUGGAAGCGUCUGGAAAGGCGCGCGAUACAGGGUGACAGCCCCGUACACAAAAGCGCAUGUGCUGUGAGCUCGAUGAGUAGGGCGGGACACGUGGUAUCCUGUCUGAAUAUGGGGGGACCAUCCUCCAAGGCUAAAUACUCCUGACUGACCGAUAGUGAACCAGUACCGUGAGGGAAAGGCGAAAAGAACCCCGGCGAGGGGAGUGAAAAAGAACCUGAAACCGUGUACGUACAAGCAGUGGGAGCACAGGUUUACCUGUGUGACUGCGUACCUUUUGUAUAAUGGGUCAGCGACUUAUAUUCUGUAGCAAGGUUAACCGUAUAGGGGAGCCGUAGGGAAACCGAGUCUUAACCGGGCGUUAAGUUGCAGGGUAUAGACCCGAAACCCGGUGAUCUAGCCAUGGGCAGGUUGAAGGUUGGGUAACACUAACUGGAGGACCGAACCGACUAAUGUUGAAAAAUUAGCGGAUGACCUGUGGCUGGGGGUGAAAGGCCAAUCAAACCGGGAGAUAGCUGGUUCUCCCCGAAAGCUAUUUAGGUAGCGCCUCGUGAAUUCAUCUCCGGGGGUAGAGCACUGUUUCGGCUAGGGGGCCAUCCCGGCUUACCAACCCGAUGCAAACUGCGAAUACCGGAGAAUGUUAUCACGGGAGACACACGGCGGGUGCUAACGUCCGUCGUGAAGAGGGAAACAACCCAGACCGCCAGCUAAGGUCCCAAAGUCAUGGUUAAGUGGGAAACGAUGUGGGAAGGCCCAGACAGCCAGGAUGUUGGCUUAGAAGCAGCCAUCAUUUAAAGAAAGCGUAAUAGCUCACUGGUCGAGUCGGCCUGCGCGGAAGAUGUAACGGGGCUAAACCAUGCACCGAAGCUGCGGCAGCGACACUGUGUGUUGUUGGGUAGGGGAGCGUUCUGUAAGCCUGUGAAGGUGGCCUGUGAGGGUUGCUGGAGGUAUCAGAAGUGCGAAUGCUGACAUAAGUAACGAUAAAGCGGGUGAAAAGCCCGCUCGCCGGAAGACCAAGGGUUCCUGUCCAACGUUAAUCGGGGCAGGGUGAGUCGACCCCUAAGGCGAGGCCGAAAGGCGUAGUCGAUGGGAAACGGGUUAAUAUUCCCGUACUUGGUGUUACUGCGAAGGGGGACGGAGAAGGCUAUGUUGGCCGGGCGACGGUUGUCCCGGUUUAAGCGUGUAGGUGUGUGUUCCAGGUAAAUCCGGUUCACUUUAACACUGAGGCGUGACGACGAGGCACUACGGUGCUGAAGCAACAAAUGCCCUGCUUCCAGGAAAAGCCUCUAAGCAUCAGGUAACAUCAAAUCGUACCCCAAACCGACACAGGUGGUCAGGUAGAGAAUACCAAGGCGCUUGAGAGAACUCGGGUGAAGGAACUAGGCAAAAUGGUGCCGUAACUUCGGGAGAAGGCACGCUGACACGUAGGUGAAGUGAUUUACUCAUGGAGCUGAAGUCAGUCGAAGAUACCAGCUGGCUGCAACUGUUUAUUAAAAACACAGCACUGUGCAAACACGAAAGUGGACGUAUACGGUGUGACGCCUGCCCGGUGCCGGAAGGUUAAUUGAUGGGGUCAGCGCAAGCGAAGCUCCUGAUCGAAGCCCCGGUAAACGGCGGCCGUAACUAUAACGGUCCUAAGGUAGCGAAAUUCCUUGUCGGGUAAGUUCCGACCUGCACGAAUGGCGUAAUGAUGGCCAGGCUGUCUCCACCCGAGACUCAGUGAAAUUGAACUCGCUGUGAAGAUGCAGUGUACCCGCGGCAAGACGGAAAGACCCCGUGAACCUUUACUAUAGCUUGACACUGAACAUUGAGCCUUGAUGUGUAGGAUAGGUGGGAGGCUUUGAAGUGUGGACGCCAGUCUGCAUGGAGCCGACCUUGAAAUACCACCCUUUAAUGUUUGAUGUUCUAACGUGGACCCGUAAUCCGGGUUGCGGACAGUGUCUGGUGGGUAGUUUGACUGGGGCGGUCUCCUCCUAAAGAGUAACGGAGGAGCACGAAGGUUGGCUAAUCCUGGUCGGACAUCAGGAGGUUAGUGCAAUGGCAUAAGCCAGCUUGACUGCGAGCGUGACGGCGCGAGCAGGUGCGAAAGCAGGUCAUAGUGAUCCGGUGGUUCUGAAUGGAAGGGCCAUCGCUCAACGGAUAAAAGGUACUCCGGGGAUAACAGGCUGAUACCGCCCAAGAGUUCAUAUCGACGGCGGUGUUUGGCACCUCGAUGUCGGCUCAUCACAUCCUGGGGCUGAAGUAGGUCCCAAGGGUAUGGCUGUUCGCCAUUUAAAGUGGUACGCGAGCUGGGUUUAGAACGUCGUGAGACAGUUCGGUCCCUAUCUGCCGUGGGCGCUGGAGAACUGAGGGGGGCUGCUCCUAGUACGAGAGGACCGGAGUGGACGCAUCACUGGUGUUCGGGUUGUCAUGCCAAUGGCACUGCCCGGUAGCUAAAUGCGGAAGAGAUAAGUGCUGAAAGCAUCUAAGCACGAAACUUGCCCCGAGAUGAGUUCUCCCUGAGACUUAGAGUCUCCUGAAGGAACGUUGAAGACGACGACGUUGAUAGGCCGGGUGUGUAAGCGCAGCGAUGCGUUGAGCUAACCGGUACUAAUGAACCGUGAGGCUUAACCUU